GCCACGCCCCCUUUCUGGAAAGGAUCCGCGGCGGCUGCAGCUGCCAAGGUCCCCGAGGGCGCUCGCGGCAGGGGAGGAUCAAGGAAAGACUUGUUUAUUAUAGGGUUGCAUUGCUGGAGGAGGGGACAGCCCGUGACCAGGCUAGGAGGAGAGGCAGGGAAGCGUGAGGGGGCGGCGGGCAAGGAAAAUGGUUGCCCCCAGCGUCUUGGAUCCUAAAGCUUCGGGAACAACUGGGCACACACGGGGGGGAUGCCCGUGGGACGGCGGCGCAGGAGCAGACGUUAGCCCGGCCUGCCCUCGCGCCCUUACCCCCUCUAUCCCUGCUUUGCAAAGGCUCGGGAUAUGGGGGUGGGGUCCACAGACUGGGAAGCUCCGGGCACCAUGCUGCCCCUUCCCCAAGGCCCCACCUGCCCAUCCUGGCUGUUACUCUACAGCCCAGGACAUAGGUUAAUGGGGAUCCCUGCCUCCUCCCAAACCCUAUCUGCUUCCACUUCCAACUGCUCCCAAGGAGAGGGCUUGAGGAGAGUGGUUAGAGGAGUGUGGAUGGGCCCGGGUUCAUAGCGCCCAGUGCAGGGAUGGAAGCGAGGAUUCACAGCAGUCGGACUCACAGACCCAUCCGCCCUCCCCGCGGACUGCAGGCAGCGCAGCCGGACCUCCCUGCCCGGGCGCCCCCCGGGUCCUAGCACCCAGCGCUCGCCUAGCGCUUUGUGUAAAAGAUCCAGACGGUUGCAUCAGGACCGAGGACCGAGAUCUCUGGAAAAGCCAGGGAGUGCAAUGGCCAUCCCGUGUUUCAUCAUUCAGGCGGGGCCACAGGAAAUCUGGCCUGGCAGCAGUGCUCAGAGGCUAACAGUGGUUGCUGAGGGUGGGAGACCCACUUAUGGAGACAAAUUUAUGGAUUAAAAAAAGAAAUCAGGGGAUCCAGGAGACAUCUUAAAGACAGCUGCAGAAUGGAAUAGUUUGUGAGCCACUGGGACUUUCAAGGCCUUCUCUUCCCAUUCUUCAAGCUCUGUCGCUUGUUGGAGCCUUAAAGACACCAGAUUGCUUAACAAUGGGGAUAUAAAAAUUAAAAAUAAUAAAAGACACUGGAUCAAGGCGGCUAGUUGUUCUUGGAGGGCUGGAGUAGAUGACAUACUCUUGAAAUCACUCUUACAGAGGUGACCUGCAUGGGUGUGUCUUCCUGCUGGCCAGAGAGAAGAUCUGAAUUAAUCCAUCAGGAACAUUCACAUUUCCUCCAGGCUGAUUUGGGCGGGACACCUAAACACCCUAAGGAAACAAGAGUUACGAUGUUUUUUCUUCUUCUUCUUCUUUUUUUUUUUUUUUUUGAGAUGGGGUCUCACUCUUUCACCCAGGCUGGAGUGCAGUGGUGCGAUCUUGGCUCACUGCAAGCUCCGCCUCCCGGGUUCACACCAUUCUCCUACCUCAGCCUCCCGAGAAGCUGGAACUGCAGGUGCCCACCACCACGUCCGGCUAAUCUUUUGUAUUUUUAAUAGAGAGAGGGUUUCACCGUGUUAGCCAGGAUGGUCUCGAUCUCCUGACCUCGUGAUCCGCCUGCCUCGGCCUCCCAAAGUGCUAGGAUUACAGGCGUGAGCCACCGCGCCCGGCCUAAUUUUUGUAUUUUUAGUAGAGAGACGGUUUCACCAUGUUGGCCAAGCUGGUCUCAAAUUCCUGAACUCAGGUGAUCCACCAGCCUGGGCCUCCCAAAGUGCUGGGAUUACAGGCGUGAGCCACCACGCCUGGCCUUUUUUUUUUUUUUUUUGGACAGAAAAAAAAUUCAGGAAAAUGUGGAACACUGACCUAAAGAAAGCACAGGCUUUUUUUUUUUUUCCUUUUAAGUAGAUAUUCAUAAGGAAAAGAAUCCGGGUCCGGUUUGGAAAGGUCAGUUAUUAGGAAUCAUUUAUUCAUUCAACAAACACCAUCAAGACUGCCCAACAGUGUUCCAAGCACCUUUUUUUCAUUCACUGUCUCCUUCUGUUAAUAAAACAACUUGUCUCAAA
RNAcentral lists this long non-coding RNA (1994 nucleotides) under Homo sapiens (human). RNAcentral's name for it is "DDIT4 antisense RNA 1, transcript variant 3 (DDIT4-AS1)". The record is from RNAcentral. Lineage: Eukaryota; Metazoa; Chordata; Mammalia; Primates; Hominidae.